CAGCAGGAAGCUGUGUGGAAAUAGGACUGAGAACCCCAGCAGGACUGGUUUUUGGAGUUGCCCUUUAGAACUCACACACCACAGCCUGUCCUCCUUAGCAUCCACAUGGAGCCAGAGCUCGUCAGAUGCCCAGCAGGACCACAUGGGCUACCUCCCCCAAAGAGCCCGAGGAAGGUGGCCACGCGACAUUGACAAGGGGAGACUUGAGCUGAUAGGGUGGCAGCACUGCUGCGCUUGUCAUCUGCGCCGUCUGUGUCCUGGGCCUUCCCUAGGACUCGGCCAUCAGACCUGGUUCAGCUUUGCUUUCAAGGAUCCAUUCUUCUGAAAUAGGAAACACAAAGAUCCACCUUUGCUUUCUGGGAGAGCUUCUGCUCAACCCUGAAGACCCAUUUCCAAAGCUUUCUACAGCUUGGCCAAUAUUCCUGGUGCCAAGCAAGUCACUCCCGCUGCGCUGCCUCGGUCCAGGCCUUCGUCCCACUGUACGGUGAUCACGUCUGUUUCUGGAGGUACUGAAACGACUACUCUUCCUUAGCUUAGUGGCUAGUCAAGCGUGGCCUACAGAAACCUGGGGCCCCAGAUGCUUUCAGAAGGUCCUUGAGUUCUGAACUAUUUUCCUAAUAGCUCUGGGUUGCUCUUCGCCUUUCUUACCAUACUGUCAUUGGCACGGUGCUGAGUUAAAACGGGCAGCACCUUAGUGCGAACCAGGGCACUUCCUGUCACACAUUUCCACUGGAACAUACACCUGCUCUACUUACCAAUGGCCCUAAUGAAGCAGGAGCAGGGCAUUUUUAAAGUCUCAGCACUCAAGCACAAGUCUUCUUGACAAUCCAUGUGGAAGAACAGGAAGAAUACCUAAAGCACUUCCGUGAUGUACAAUGGGUGAGCGUAAUGCCUAGGAAAAGCACACGUGUGGUUGUUUGGCUUUUAGCUCCAGCAGCCACUUUUUCCAGAAAGCACCACUUUACCUGGAAGACUAACUGGCAAGCCAUGGUUAUCCAGAUUUGGGUAUCUGCAGAUGUUUUCUCAAAGAUUCACGAAGUGAGCCUGCCACCUCAAGGAAAGCAAUGGACAACAUUUGUGGCCAACGGUAAAAUGCAAGCUGUUAAGGGAAAAUUAGGGGUUUGGAAACGUCAGCUGCCUCUGUGAGUUUGAAACUUGCCACUGCGCUUCUCUGGUGAGCUCGGG
Long non-coding RNA from Tupaia belangeri chinensis (Chinese tree shrew), 1185 nucleotides. RefSeq lists it as uncharacterized. The record is from RefSeq and is a predicted model, not a curated record. The transcript has 3 exons. Lineage: Eukaryota; Metazoa; Chordata; Mammalia; Scandentia; Tupaiidae.